AUGGGGAAGAGUUUUUCACAGCCACAAAUCCCAGAAGUUGAAGAAGUCGUUCGCUCCCUGGUAUCGAUGGACGCUCUCAACCCUCGGCAGGUCAGAGAACCUCACUCACCAGGUGGAGGUGGAGGUGGAGGUGGAGGUGACGGAGGGACGGAGGGAAGGAGGGAAGGAGGGACGGAGUCGGAGGGACGGAGGGACGGAGGGACGGAGUCGGAGGGAUGGAGGGACGGAGGGACAGAGGGAAGGAAGGAGGGACAGAGGGAAGGAGGGACGGAGGGAAGGAGGGACGGAGGGACGGAGGGACGGAGUCGGAGGGAUGGAGGGACGGAGGGACGGAGUCGGAGGGUCGGAGGGAAGGAGGGACGGAGGGAAGGAGGGACGGAGUCGGAGGGACGGAGGGACGGAGUCGGAGGGACGGAGGGAAGGAGGGACAGAGGGAAGGAGGGACAGAGGGAAGGAGGGACAGGAGGGAAGGAGGGACAGAGGGAAGGAGGGACGGAGGGAAGGAGGGACGGAGUCGGAGGGAGGAGUCGGAGGGACGGAGGGACGGAGUCGGAGGGAAGGAGGGACGGAGUCGGAGGGACGGAGGGAGGAGGGACGGAGGGAAGGAGGGACAGGAGGGAAGGAGGGACAGAGGGAAGGAGGGACGGAGUCGGAGGGAGGGACGGAGGGACGGAGGGAAGGAGGGACAGAGGGAAGGAGGGACGGAGGGAAGGAGGGACAGAGGGAAGGAGGGACGGAGGGAAGGAGGGACAGAGGGAAGGAGGGAGUCGGAGGGAAGGAGGGAAGGAGGGACGGAGGGACGGAGGGACGGAGUCGGAGGGAUGGAGGGACGGAGGGACGGAGGGUCGGAGGGAAGGAGGGACGGAGGGACAGAGGGACGGAGUCGGAGGGACGGAGGGACGGAGUCGGAGGGACGGAGGGAAGGAGGGACAGAGGGAAGGAGGGACAGAGGGAAGGAGGGACAGAGGGAAGGAGGGACAGAGGGAAGGAGGGACGGAGGGAAGGAGGGACGGAGUCGGAGGGACGGAGUCGGAGGGACGGAACGGAGUCGGAGGAAGGGACGGAGUCGGAGGGAAGGAGGGAAGGGAGGGACGGAGGGAAGGAGGGACAGAGGGAAGGAGGGACAGAGGGAAGGAGGGACGGAGUCGGAGGGAAGGAGGGACGGAGGGAAGGAGGGACAGAGGGAAGGAGGGACGGAGGGAAGGAGGGACAGAGGGAAGGAGGGACGGAGUCGGAGGGAAGGAGGGAAGGAGGGACGGAGGGAAGGAGGGACGGAGGGACGGAGGGACAGAGGGACGGAGUCGGAGGGACGGAGUCGGAGGGACGAGGGACGGAGUCGGAGGAGGGACGGAGUCGGAGGGAAGGAGGGACGGAGGGACGGAGGGAUGGAGGGACGGAGGGACGGAGGGAUGGAGGGACGGAGGGAAGGAGGGAAGGAGGGACGGAGGGAAGGAGGGACGGAGGGAUGGAGGGACGGAGGGACGGAGUCGGAGGGACGGAGGGAAGGAGGGACGGAGGGAUGGAGGGACGGAGGGACGGAGUCGGAGGGACGGAGGGAAGGAGGGACGGAGUCGGAGGGACGGAGGGACGGAGUCGGAGGGACGGAGGGAAGGAGGGACGGAGUCGGAGGGACGGAGUCGGAGGGAAGGAGGGACGGAGUCGGAGGGACGGAGGGAGGAGCGGAGGGAUGGAGGGACGGAGGGACGGAGUCGGAGGGACGGAGGGAAGGAGGGACGGAGGGAUGGAGGGACGGAGGGACGGAGUCGGAGGGACGGAGGGAAGGAGGGACGGAGUCGGAGGGACGGAGGGACGGAGUCGGAGGGACGGAGGAAGGAGGGACGGAGUCGGAGGGACGGAGUCGGAGGGAAGGAGGGACGGAGUCGGAGGGACGGAGGGACGGGCGACCUGAUUGGUUCAGACAGACGAGACGUGUGGUUCUACUGCAGAGACAAACAGUCUCUGACGGUCAGGAGGGCCGCGUCAUCGGGAGGAGUUUCCUCCGCGGGUCGACAGGAUGGAGCGGUCGUAUCGUUCUGUGGAAUCUCAGCGUUCAGGGCGGCGACGUCCUGCGGCUCGUGA
Molecule: long non-coding RNA, 2079 nt
Organism: Scophthalmus maximus (turbot)
Lineage: Eukaryota; Metazoa; Chordata; Actinopteri; Pleuronectiformes; Scophthalmidae
Source: Ensembl